GAGACAGCAGCAGCCGCGGGAAUACGAAGGGUGCAAGCGUUACUCGGAAUUACUGGGCGUAAAGCGUGCGUAGGUGGUGGUUUAAGUCCGUUGUGAAAGCCCUGGGCUCAACCUGGGAAUUGCAGUGGAUACUGGGUCACUAGAGUGUGGUAGAGGAUAGUGGAAUUUCCGGUGUAGCAGUGAAAUGCGUAGAGAUCGGAAGGAACAUCUGUGGCGAAGGCGACUAUCUGGGCCAACACUGACACUGAGGCACGAAAGCGUGGGGAGCAAACAGGAUUAGAUACCCCCGUAGUCCCUGUCUCUUAUAC
RNAcentral lists this ribosomal RNA (308 nucleotides) under uncultured bacterium. RNAcentral's name for it is "partial 16S ribosomal RNA". It matches the Rfam family "Bacterial small subunit ribosomal RNA", at positions 505 to 807 of the family's 1533-position model. The record is from RNAcentral.